AGCAUUUAGGAAUGUUUAAGAGAUGGCGAAGAUGACUGUUCCAUUCUUCGGUAGAAACCUGACGAUUUAACAACGUAUUGUCAUUAGCUAGAUUUGAAACAAUAUGAUCGACUGAAUAAUUAUUGCUGGCUGUGUUCUUAGAUUUCAAUAGCCCGAUUCUCGUAAGUAGAAGUGGUCCAAUUUUCAAUGGAGUUGUUCUCCUCAAUUCGUGGUUACCUGUAGAUAA
Molecule: non-coding RNA, 226 nt
Organism: Schizosaccharomyces pombe (fission yeast)
Lineage: Eukaryota; Fungi; Ascomycota; Schizosaccharomycetes; Schizosaccharomycetales; Schizosaccharomycetaceae
Source: the annotation of a GenBank genome assembly